This 32-nucleotide ribosomal RNA is filed under the name Odontites luteus subsp. provincialis. RNAcentral's name for it is "partial 28S ribosomal RNA". The record is from RNAcentral. Lineage: Eukaryota; Viridiplantae; Streptophyta; Magnoliopsida; Lamiales; Orobanchaceae.
CCGCGACCCCAGGUCAGGCGGGAUUACCCGCU